CCUACGGGAGGCAGCAGUGGGGAAUAUUGCACAAUGGGGGAAACUCUGAUGCAGCCACGCCGCGUGAGUGAAGACGGAACUCGUUGUGUUAAGCUCUAUCAGUAGGGAAGUAAACGACGGUACCUGUGUAUGAAGCCCCGUCUAACUACGUGCCAGCAGCCGCGGUAACACGGAGGCUGCAAGCGUUAUCCGGAUUUACUGGGUGUAAAGGGGGCGUAGUCGGUUGUGUAAGUCAGGAGUGAAAGGCGGAGGCUCAACGUCGGAACUGCUGGUGAUACUGUACGGCUGGAGUGCAGUAGAGGUAGGUGGAAUGCAUGGUGUAGCGGUGAAAUGCGUAGAGAUUAGAAAGAACACCGAUGGCGAGGGCAGCUUACUGGGCU
This 380-nucleotide ribosomal RNA is filed under the name uncultured bacterium. RNAcentral's name for it is "partial 16S ribosomal RNA". It matches the Rfam family "Bacterial small subunit ribosomal RNA", at positions 338 to 735 of the family's 1533-position model. The record is from RNAcentral.